This is an RNA transcript of Pangasianodon hypophthalmus (striped catfish), 4039 nucleotides long. It is a transcript of the gene named glycerophosphodiester phosphodiesterase domain containing 5b, with no coding region annotated. Lineage: Eukaryota; Metazoa; Chordata; Actinopteri; Siluriformes; Pangasiidae. The transcript is spliced from 18 exons. The record is from RefSeq and is a predicted model, not a curated record.
UGGCUGAGGAGAAGCUCCAGUCCUAACACAACACGCUGACAGCGCAGGAGCGCAGGGGAGGUGGAUCAGCAGACGCAAAUAAAACAAGAUCGCUGGACUAUUUACACUGGUUUCUUUACAUACUGUCUGACGUGAGCCCUCUUUUACAGUCUGUUAGGUUUUCUGGAGCACUUGUGCAGCUUAUAUUUGAGUAAAAGAGUGGUGUGAGGAGGAAACGCACAGCGCAGGCGCUUCACCUGGCUGGAGAGCUUACAGCAGAGGAGUGCAAGGGAAAGGGUGCUGUGCUGUCAGUGGGAUGGUAGAAGGGUGGAGUGGAGUCUAGCCUGAAGGAGCAUGGUGAAGCACCAACCCCUACAGGUCUAUGAGAGACAACUGUGCUUGUCCUGUCUAACAGGGAUCUACGGCUGCCGCUGGAAACGUUACCAGCGCUCACACGAUGACACCACAAAGUGGGAGUGUAUGUGGACCCUCAUCCUCUUUGGGACUUUCACUCUGCUGCUGUUCUGGUUUUACUUCUGGUGGGAAGCAAGCAAUGACUACAGUGAAUUUAACUGGUAUUUAUAUAACCGGUCAGGCGAGUGGAGUGAUGGAACUGUUCCCAUACUGGCCACAACAGCUGCAGGCUUCACCUAUAUUGCAUUUUUAAUGAUUUUAGCAUUAUGUCACAUCGCAGUUGGACAGCAGCUGAACCUGCACUGGAUCCAUAAGAUUGGAGUGACCGCAGCUUUACUGACCACCGUCAUCGGAGUGAUAUCCGUCAGCCAGAUAUGGAACGAAGAGUGGGAUAUCUUCUCAAUCUCUCUACGAGCAACAGGACCGUUUCUGCACAUCGGUGCUCUGGCUGCAGUUACAGCAUUGGCCUGGCUGGUGGCUGGACAAGUGGCUCGAUCUGAGAAGACCAAGUUUCAGGUAAUAGUUCUGCUCAUCUACCUGGUGGUGCUUCUGAGCCUCUACCUGACCCCGCUGUCCAUCACAUCGCCCUGCAUCAUGGAGCGACACGACCUUAAGGCACGGCCUGCUGUCAUCGGCCAGCGCGGAGCUCCCAUGCUGGCUCCGGAGAACACGCUGCUUUCUUUCCAGAGAGCUUUGCAGAAGAACGUCAGCGGGUUGGAGGCUGAGGUGGCUAUCAGUCUAGAUGGAGUCCCGUUCCUGAUGAGAGAUCGUACCCUGAAGAGAACCACAGAUGUGAGCAAAGUCUUUCCUGAGAGGCAGAAUGCUGACGCAUCGUUCUUCAACUGGACUGAACUGAGCAUGCUCAAUGCUGGCCAGUGGUUUCUAAAGGAUGACCCGUACUGGACGGUGCAGUACAUGUCUGAGCGAGAACGCUUGUUAGUGGGGAAUCAGACGGUGUGCAGUCUGGAACAGAUGCUACAACUGGCAGCCCGCUCCAACCGCUCAGCCCUGUUUACCCUCCGCAGACCUCCACCGGGGCAUCCACACAACCUGAGCUGGGUCAACCUCACCCUGGCCACCAUCCUGCACUCGGGCAUCCCUCAACACCUGGUGGUGUGGAGUGUGGACUGGGACAGAGAGCUGGUACGGCAGCAGGCUCCAGGCUUCCAGCAGAUCUCCACUAAGAUACAGACGCUGGAGAAUCUCCAUGAGAAAGGCAUCAGCAGAUUAUUGCUGCGCUACAACCAUGUCAGUGAUGAGGAUAUACGGAAGUACACAGCUGGUAAUGUGAGCGUGACUCUGUACACUGUGAACGAGCCAUGGUUGUACUCUGUACUCUGGUGCAGCGGCGUGCACUCCGUCUCCUCUGAAGCACCACAGAUCCUCAAGAAAAUUUUAUCACCUCUCUGGCUAAUGAGCCCACACGAGUACUGCUUGAUCUGGGUCGCUACAGAUCUCAUCUCUUUCGCUCUUGUCCUGGGGAUUUUUGUCUUUCAGAACUAUCACAUGAUCAGGUGGAGGAUGAGUGGCAUACGUAGCUACAACCCAGAGCAGAUAAUGCUGAGUGCUGCUGUCAGGAGGUCGAGCCGAGACGUCAACAUCAUGAAGGAGAAGCUCAUCUUCUCUGGUCAGCAACAGUAGCAGUUUAACCCCAGCUGUAACCCUCCAUCAUUUCAUCUUCAUCCUGCACCAUCCUGCACCAUCUCACUACAUCCCCCUCCAUGCUGCUCCUACCCGAACCAUCCUGCACCGUCCCUAACCAUCCUCCACCAUCCUGCAUCAUCUUUCAUCAUCCUGCUCCAUGCUGAUCCAUCCCAAACCAUCCUGCUCCAUCCUGCAUCAUCUUUCACCAUCCCGAACCAUCCUGCAUCAUCUUUCACCAUCUUGCUCCAUCCCUAACCAUCCUGCAUCACCUUCCCGAUCCAUCCUGAACCAACCCGAACCAUCCUGUAUCAUCCACCCUCUCACUGCCUCUCACUGCAUCCACCGCUCCAUGCUUCACCUCCAGUCAUAGCUCAUAAAUGGCUCUGGUUGUCAUGGCCAGUGCUCUCUUCAUGAGGUCAGCGAUGGGGUCAGCUGUGAGGAAAACGGGUUCGACUGCUACACCAAUCAGGACGUUCACUGACUCAGCGCUCCACACUGACGGGGUGAAAAAGUACGAUUUACGACUCGGCCAUACUGCCUGAACUGCUUUUAUUUCUUUUUAACGGCUCCGCACUCCCUCAGAGCUUCACCACAGUUUUCCAUUUUCAGUGUCUCUGUGAUCUCCGGAAUGUCUCUGUAUUGCUAAAGGAACAUCAGUGUAUAUUCUGUAUAGUUUUUUUUUUCUUUCUUUUUUUUUUGUACUGUAAAUUACUUGUAAAGAAUUAAGUGUGACCAGUCUGUGGCCCGGUGAGUGCUCAAGAUGACUGGAACGUGCACCAUUUUAUUUUGACUGCAAGCACAGCUGUAAUAAAACACGCCCUUCAUUUUGGAAAUGAACAACUGCAAUCAGGGUGUGAGGAAUAUUUCUAAACUUGCCUGCGUGUAUGUGCGUGGUUUAUGAUGUAUGUCAUGACUUACUCUGGGACACACUCUUGCCUUCUCUAAGUCCCGAAGCGACUUCCUGUGUGUUUACAGAGUGCCCGUCUUUCUCUUGACUGUAUGUGACUAUUUUCAUACACACCCAUUUAACAUUUUCAAGAAGAAUGAUUUUUAUAUUCGUGCGUUUUGCCUUGCAGUCGUUUAAAUAAAGGGUUAAACAUUUUUAAAUACACGCAGAGUAGUAAACAGGUUACAGUCGAUGUACUUGAGCUUGUAAAGGUUUGUUUUUACUCUGUGGUUAGACUGUAAAAGCAGGAAACCAUAAGAGCGAGUACAAGCCUUAAAGGAAAAAUCCACCCUGAAUGCCUUGCAUUAUUAUCCCUUUUUUUAUCUCAACCUAAAGAGAGCGCUGCAGCGGCGCUUUAGUCCUUUAGUCUGUCUAGCUCUCUCACCUCGUCAUCUGUACACUCUACUCACACAGAUCAGCUUCCAAAGCGCUCUAAGCUUCAUCGCGUGCGUCAUCUCGUAGAUCUCUAACUAGCUAAGCCGAGUCUCAACUGCACUGUCUAGUUGCACUGCAUCAUGGGAGUUUGAGUACAACGUUUGCAUCAACGUAUCCAUGACUUCUACUUUAGAUUUCUCAUGAAUAUAUGAAAUCACUGGAAAACGGUGAAUGAGAAAAGAGUUUGUUUUUAGGAGCGAACAGUGAAACCUGGACGUUAGCCCUUAAGUUUGAUUCCUAUUAAAUGUGUUUCAGGGUGGAGUUCUCCUUUAAUGUCGUUCUACACUGAAAGCGCUGAAGCUGAACGCGUCUCAGUGCCGUGUGCAGUACUACUGGAAAAUAUUUCCUGGCCUGGAAUCAAGACUGAGUGUUUAUAUUUAUAUAUUGUACAGUGAUUGUGUCACAUCAUCAUCAUCAUCAUCAUCGUCGUCGUCAUCAUCAUGGGCUCACUGUAUUUUAUUUGCUAUGAACAGUUUAUAAGUUAUGGCACCCGAAGACAUGUUAGGUGAAGCGUUUUAACAAAAAUUUCACGUUCACACAAGAGACAAUGAACAAAUUGUGUUAUUUUGUUUUUAUUUUGUAUGUGUUGCUCAAUGAAUAAAUAAAAAUAAUGUUAAAAAA